Molecule: long non-coding RNA, 260 nt
Organism: Daphnia carinata
Lineage: Eukaryota; Metazoa; Arthropoda; Branchiopoda; Diplostraca; Daphniidae
Exons: 3
Source: RefSeq, a predicted model, not a curated record
GGCAAUUUCAGUCCAUUGGAUGCCAUUCGCAGUUAGUUCAGUAGCGUGGAUGGAGAAUAACGCGUGAAUGGAGGAACAAAUGAAAAAUGGAUAAGAUAAUACAACAAAAGGAUGAUCAAAUUAUGAAGCUGCAGGCCCAAUUAUUGGAACAACACAAAAUAUUAGAUAACAGCAAAGCUAAGGAUGCUCAAAUUUUGAGUCUACAAGCUCAGCUAGGGGAAAAGAACAAAUUGGAAUGGAACAGUUUCCAAACAGUGAAG